UGAGGAAUUUUGCGCAAUGGCCGCAAGGCUGACGCAGCAACGCCGCGUGGGUGAAGAAGGCCUUCGGGUCGUAAAGCCCUGUCAGGUGGGAAGAAAUCCCCGGAGCGAACAGUGUCCGGGGCUUGACGGUACCACCAGAGGAAGCACCGGCUAACUCCGUGCCAGCAGCCGCGGUAAUACGGAGGGUGCGAGCGUUAUUCGGAAUUAUUGGGCGUAAAGCGCGUGCAGGCGGCCGAGCAAGUCUGAUGUGAAAGCCCCGGGCUUAACCUGGGAAGUGCAUUGGAAACUGCUUGGCUUGAGUACUGGAGAGGAAGGGGGAAUUCCCGGUGUAGAGGUGAAAUUCGUAGAGAUCGGGAGGAAUACCAGUGGCGAAGGCGCCCUUCUGGACGGUUACUGACGCUGAGACGCGAAAGCGUGGGGAGCAAACAGG
RNAcentral lists this ribosomal RNA (430 nucleotides) under uncultured bacterium. RNAcentral's name for it is "bacterial SSU rRNA". It matches the Rfam family "Bacterial small subunit ribosomal RNA", at positions 355 to 776 of the family's 1533-position model. The record is from RNAcentral.